Non-coding RNA from Cervus elaphus (red deer), 73 nucleotides. The record is from the annotation of a RefSeq genome assembly. Lineage: Eukaryota; Metazoa; Chordata; Mammalia; Artiodactyla; Cervidae.
GCUCUGGCGGUCCAGUGGUUAGGACACGGCACUUUCACUGCCGAGGGCUCAGGUUCAAUUCCUGGUCAGGGAA